AUUAUUUAAGAGCUUAACAUUGUAAGUAAAUAAUAAUUAUGAAAGCAAAAAAUUAUGGCGGUAUUUUAAGCUUUUCAGAGGAAUUUGCUCUUUAAUGGAUAAAACACCAAAAUCUUACUUAGAUUUGUGAUUUCAAUUUGUAUACCACUAUUAAAACAAUUUAUAACUUUAAUUGUUUAAAUUUACAAAACUAAAAUAUAUUAAGUCAAGGUGCAGUAAAAAUUUAAGGAUGAAGUGAAUUACAUUACUUUUUAGUGAGAUAAGUUUAUAACAAUAUUU
Molecule: ribosomal RNA, 279 nt
Filed under: Rhipicephalus sanguineus (brown dog tick)
Lineage: Eukaryota; Metazoa; Arthropoda; Arachnida; Ixodida; Ixodidae
Description: partial small subunit ribosomal RNA
Source: RNAcentral